UAAGUGAAAGAAAAACAUUCAAUAAUAGAGAAAAACUACUACCAUUAUUUUGUGUCUCUCUUUCUCUCCAUUUCUUCUUGUCAUUUUAUCUUACUACACAUGCUUCAUUUUAUAACACGUUAUCAACACGAGUCUCUUCAUCUACGAGCAUCUCCGGUGGUGUAUUAGCCCAAAAUAGUAUAGAGUAUAUUAUAUUUUGCUAUAUAAGUCUUCUUAUACUUGAUAGUCUAAAUUUG
RNAcentral lists this long non-coding RNA (236 nucleotides) under Solanum tuberosum (potato). RNAcentral describes it as "long non-coding RNA (STUB_LNC001418)". Lineage: Eukaryota; Viridiplantae; Streptophyta; Magnoliopsida; Solanales; Solanaceae. The record is from RNAcentral.